Candidatus Pacebacteria bacterium CG1_02_43_31 is the source of this 87-nucleotide non-coding RNA. Lineage: Bacteria; Bacillati; Minisyncoccota. The record is from Rfam.
GGAGGGAUGUCGGAGUGGUUUAACGGCCAGCUCUCGAAAAGCUUGGGGGACUCACGUCCCACGGGGGUUCGAAUCCCCCUCCCUCCG